Molecule: ribosomal RNA, 437 nt
Filed under: uncultured bacterium
Lineage: Bacteria
Description: bacterial SSU rRNA
Rfam family: Bacterial small subunit ribosomal RNA
Source: RNAcentral
AGGAGGCAGCAGUAGGGAAUAUUGGGCAAUGGGCUAACGCCUGACCCAGCAACGCCGCGUGGAGGAUGAAGGUUUUUGGAUUGUAAACUCCUUUUGUGGGGGAAGAGCGAGGACGGUACCCCAAGAAUAAGUCACGGCUAACUACGUGCCAGCAGCCGCGGUAAUACGUAGGUGACGAGCGUUAUCCGGAAUUAUUGGGCGUAAAGCGCCCGCAGGCGGCUGUUCAAGUCUGACGUGAAAUCGCUCGGCUUAACUGGGCGGGGUCGUUGGAAACUGAAUAGCUUGAGGCAAGGAGAGGGGCGUGGAAUUCCCGGUGUAGUGGUGGAAUGCGUAGAUAUCGGGAGGAACAUCAGUGGCGCAAGCGGCGCCCUGGCCUUAGCCUGACGCUCAGGGGCGAAAGCGUGGGGAGCGAACGGGAUUAGAUACCCCGGUAGUCC